AGAAAGGUCCAUUGCCAUAUGGAGAUGCUCUCUAUGAUCUAAGAGAUUAGAGUCUUAGCCACAAAUGAUGGAUGAAUAGACCAUGGGUUUGGUAUAUUAUGCCAGACAAAAUACGCUCCCAAACUAAGGUACAAAAUUGUAUGAUUUCUUUUGGCACUAUAUCAUGGUGAUAUUAUUGAAUAUGAAUAAGGCUAUUUUGGGUUGCGGCCUAUAUGAUAAGAUACAGCACCAUAUGCUUGAUUUUGGUGUUUUCUGUUUCUCCUCAACACUAAAAUAACGGCAAUGUUAUUUAUAUAUUCUUUCAAAUUAUGCAGGUACAGGUGUCUUGCAGUCUAGACAGCCAAGAAGCUACCAACGUACGUAGCCUGCUCAAGGAUUGUGACAUUAUAUUAUCCUUUUCAAAAUAAAUUUUGACACCAUGGUUAGGUUAAAGAAAUCCCAGUUCUUUAUAUUGUUGUCAUUUACUUUAUUAUACUUAUACUAGAGUAUUUGCUCGCGUUCUACGCG
This 507-nucleotide long non-coding RNA is filed under the name Nicotiana benthamiana. RNAcentral's name for it is "long non-coding RNA (NBEN_LNC028514)". The record is from RNAcentral. Lineage: Eukaryota; Viridiplantae; Streptophyta; Magnoliopsida; Solanales; Solanaceae.